GAUGAACGCUGGCGGCGUGCCUAAUACAUGCAAGUCGAGCGAACGGACGAGGAGCUUGCUCCUCUGACGUUAGCGGCGGACGGGUGAGUAACACGUGGAUAACCUACCUAUAAGACUGGGAUAACUUCGGGAAACCGGAGCUAAUACCGGAUAAUAUAUUGAACCGCAUGGUUCAAAAGUGAAAGACGGUUUUGCUGUCACUUAUAGAUGGAUCCGCGCUGCAUUAGCUAGUUGGUAAGGUAACGGCUUACCAAGGCAACGAUGCGUAGCCGACCUGAGAGGGUGAUCGGCCACACUGGAACUGAGACACGGUCCAGACUCCUACGGGAGGCAGCAGUAGGGAAUCUUCCGCAAUGGGCGAAAGCCUGACGGAGCAACGCCGCGUGAGUGAUGAAGGUCUUCGGAUCGUAAAACUCUGUUAUUAGGGAAGAACAAAUGUGUAAGUAACUGUGCACAUCUUGACGGUACCUAAUCAGAAAGCCACGGCUAACUACGUG
This 497-nucleotide ribosomal RNA is filed under the name uncultured bacterium. RNAcentral's name for it is "partial 16S ribosomal RNA". It matches the Rfam family "Bacterial small subunit ribosomal RNA", at positions 28 to 507 of the family's 1533-position model. The record is from RNAcentral.